This 473-nucleotide ribosomal RNA is filed under the name uncultured bacterium. RNAcentral's name for it is "bacterial SSU rRNA". It matches the Rfam family "Bacterial small subunit ribosomal RNA", at positions 29 to 490 of the family's 1533-position model. The record is from RNAcentral.
AGUGAACGCUGGCGGCAGGCCUAACACAUGCAAGUCGAACGGCAGCACAGGGGUAGCAAUACCCUGGGUGGCGAGUGGCGGACGGGUGAGGAAUACAUGGGUAACCUACCCUCGAGUGGGGAAUAACUAGCCGAAAGGUUAGCUAAUACCGCGUACGCUCCUUGGACUUCGGUUCAGGGAGGAAAGCGAUACCGUGGGUAUCGCGCUCUUGGAUGGGCUCAUGUCCUAUCAGCNGUUGGUGAGGUAACGGCUCACCAAGGCUUCGACGGGUAGCUGGUCUGAGAGGACGAUCAGCCACACUGGCACUGCGACACGGGCCAGACUCCUACGGGAGGCAGCAGUAAGGAAUAUUGCGCAAUGGGCGAAAGCCUGACGCAGCGACGCCGCGUGGGGGAUGAAGGUCUUCGGAUUGUAAACCCCUUUCGGGAGAGAGAUGGAACGAGCAAUCGUUCGGACGGUACCUCCAGAAGCAG